AUUGAACGCUAGCGGGAUGCUUUACACAUGCAAGUCGAACGGCAGCGCGGACUUCGGUCUGGCGGCGAGUGGCGAACGGGUGAGUAAUGUAUCGGAACGUGCCCAGUAGCGGGGGAUAACUACGCGAAAGCGUAGCUAAUACCGCAUACGCCCUACGGGGGAAAGCAGGGGUUCGUAAGACCUUGCACUAUUGGAGCGGCCGAUAUCGGAUUAGCUAGUUGGUGAGGUAACGGCUCACCAAGGCGACGAUCCGUAGCUGGUUUGAGAGGACGACCAGCCACACUGGGACUGAGACACGGCCCAGACUCCUACGGGAGGCAGCAGUGGGGAAUUUUGGACAAUGGGGGCAACCCUGAUCCAGCCAUCCCGCGUGUGCGAUGAAGGCCUUCGGGUUGUAAAGCACUUUUGGCAGGAAAGAAACGUCGCGGGCUAAUACCCCGUGGAACUGACGGUACCUGCAGAAUAAGCGCCGGCUAACUACGUG
Molecule: ribosomal RNA, 484 nt
Filed under: uncultured bacterium
Lineage: Bacteria
Description: partial 16S ribosomal RNA
Rfam family: Bacterial small subunit ribosomal RNA
Source: RNAcentral